UCCCUGGUGGUCUAGUGACUAAGACUCUGCACUCCCAAUGCAGGGGGCCUGGGUUUGAUUCCUGGUCAGGGAA
Molecule: transfer RNA, 73 nt
Filed under: Ovis aries (sheep)
Lineage: Eukaryota; Metazoa; Chordata; Mammalia; Artiodactyla; Bovidae
Rfam family: tRNA
About the family: Transfer RNA (tRNA) molecules are approximately 80 nucleotides in length. Their secondary structure includes four short double-helical elements and three loops (D, anti-codon, and T loops).
Source: Rfam by way of RNAcentral